AAUUUGAAGUUAUACUUCCUUGAAUCAUAUUCGGACUUCAAACGACUGUAGUUCAACUAGUUAUAUUGCCACUUUAAAUGUAUAUACACUAAAUCACAUGAAAAAUACUUGUUAGAUAUGUACAUUGUUGUAUUUUGCAGCCACGCACAACAGACCUGACAAGGUCAUGGAUUUGAAAGGGAAACUCAUCGCACAACUGGAGCAAUGGAACAAAGAACAGAAAGACUUGAAGGAAAAAUUGAUUAUAAUUGAGAACAAAGAUUCAUCCAGUGAAGCCUUUGAUGUUGAAAAUAUCAAAUUAGUUGGCGGUGUUGAUAUUUCGUUUGCACAGAACCCUGAUGACAAAGUGCAUGCAUGUGCCGCACUAGUUGUCAUUAGUCUUCCUGAUCUUAAGGUAGAAUACCAAAGCUGCACCUUUGUUCAUUUGACCUCACCAUAUAUACCAGAAUACCUUGCCUUCCGUGAAGCAUCUUAUUUGGUUUGUGAGUUGGGAAAACUGAAACAGAAUAAGCCAGAACUUUUUCCUCAGGUUCUCUUGGUGGAUGGGAAUGGACUAUUGCACCCCAGAGGUUUUGGAGUGGCCUGUCACAUUGGUGUCCUAGCAGAUCUUCCAACUGUUGGGGUUGCAAAGCAGCUGUUUCAUGUGGGUGGCCUUGAAAAAAAUGAGGAGCACACAGAAAAGAUAUCUACAAUGCUGGUGAAUGCUGGAGAUUCAUUUCAAUUGAUGAGUGAGUCCAACACUGUGCUUGGAGAAGCAUUCAAAAGCACCCAAGAUACACGAAAGCCCAUAUACAUAUCUGUCGGACAUAAAAUUAGUCUACAUAAUGCCGUUAAGAUUGUCGGAAAAUGCUGCAAGUAUCGAAUACCCGAACCGGUUCGCCAGGCAGACAUCAUUUCUAGAGAAUACAUGAGGAAUAAUUAUGAAAUACUCGUCCAAGAUUGUCAAGUUGAUUGGAAAGGUAUUUCUAAACAACACGAAGAAAUCGAGGAACUAGCGAAAAGAUUAAAAAUGCAAUCCAUCGUAAAUGCAGUGGAAGUUUCAGAACUUUGAAUGUCAUGAUCAAUGUUUGAAUUGGUUAUCAUCUCCAAACGUGUAUCGUGAAAGUGAGAGGUGGUCGGUCGGCAAAGGGAUAGCUGUCCGCUUCAAGCAUUUAAGUACUCAAAUGCUCUUCUCGUGAGUCACCUUGGCAAUGAAACGUGAGGUUGAGCAACUCGACCCCAAUGUACUCACUCCCAAUGUACUUCGAAGGAUAACUGUAAAGAACUCUUUCUUUAACAUUUCGUGUGUAAAUAGAUUUUGUUUUUAAACUUAAAAAUUUAUUGUUUUUAUACCUUUUAUAAAAACAUGGAUCUUUAUAAAAUUAUAGAUGAAAAGAUUGUGGCAUUUAUCAUCGAAUUCAUAACAAUUGUCUCUUUACAUUUAUGACCAACUUCAUCAAAUUGUUUUGAUGUAGAUUUCACAUUAUGGCAAUGAAGGCCUGGCAUAAAUUCGGCAUUUAAUUUGAUGCUACGGCACAAGUUGUUUCUGUUAAUAGAGACAGCGGGUUGGCAGGGGUUUUGUGCAACGUUCAUAAACUCUUAAAUGAACACGACAUCCUGAACCGCAAAACGUUUUACUACUAAGAUUUACCAUAGCUACAACUACAGCCCUGACUACAGCUACUGCAGGUCUUCUGGGCUUCACGCAUCUUGCAUGUUUGCACCAAUAUUCUUCCAUAUCCCGCAUCACGCAAGCAAUGACUUCCUUACUGUUUUUCGCGCAUUUUCCCCGAAAGGAAACAAAAUUUCUAGUUUUCAACCUAGUUAUGGAAACAAGCCUUUCUACCUUUUCCUGAUUUCUCCCUGAACGCUUACAUUGGAAACCCAUUUUGGAAUUUGGAAUACACUUCUGAUAUACUUCAGGGCUCACGCCAUGAAUUUCAAGGUGGAGGGGUCAGUUUCUUUAGCUCGAAAUUAAAUUUAGUGCUUCAAAACAGGGCCUCUUUUGAAAUAUUUUUGCUCGCCAAAAAAGUGGGGGGGGGGGCAUGCGUGGGCUCUUUACUUUAAAAGACCAAACUAUUC
Molecule: RNA transcript, 2061 nt
Organism: Rhopilema esculentum
Lineage: Eukaryota; Metazoa; Cnidaria; Scyphozoa; Rhizostomeae; Rhizostomatidae
Gene name: endonuclease V
Source: RefSeq, a predicted model, not a curated record